This 24-nucleotide non-coding RNA is filed under the name Arabidopsis thaliana (thale cress). Lineage: Eukaryota; Viridiplantae; Streptophyta; Magnoliopsida; Brassicales; Brassicaceae. The record is from RNAcentral.
UGUAUCUUGUGAUUAAUCUUGCCC